AUUUAUAUCCAUACUUGCUAAGAAAUCAACCUUAUAGUUCUAGAGCUCCAAUACAACGUAUGAAUUCAAGGAAAAACUAAAGGGGUUAGAGAAACUAUUAAGAAGAUAGUUGUAUUUAAUUAGAUAUCAAAUCAAGUAAAAAUUUUGCACUUCCAAUCAUAUAGGCCUAGCAUGGGAAACAGGCUCACAUUUCUACAAGUAAAGACAACUGAGAAAAUAUGCUAUCCUCUAGUAUUGUCUAGAAUGUUAACAAAGAAUAAAGCAAAUAUCCACAUUGUAAUUUUAAUUGGCAGCAAGAUUACAUUUUAAAGGCAUUUAAAAAAAGGAUUAAGCCCUGAGACCAACCGGUUGUAAUAGUUCGAAAACGUUC
Molecule: unclassified non-coding RNA, 370 nt
Filed under: Hevea brasiliensis (rubber tree)
Lineage: Eukaryota; Viridiplantae; Streptophyta; Magnoliopsida; Malpighiales; Euphorbiaceae
Source: RNAcentral